GAUGAACGCUGGCGGCGUGCUUAACACAUGCAAGUCGAACGGUGAAGGCGGAGCUUGCUCUGCUGGAUCAGUGGCGAACGGGUGAGUAACACGUGAGCAAUCUGCCCCUGACUCUGGGAUAAGCGCUGGAAACGGCGUCUAAUACUGGAUACGAGCUGCGAAGGCAUCUUCAGCAGCUGGAAAGAACUUCGGUCAGGGAUGAGCUCGCGGCCUAUCAGCUUGUUGGUGAGGUAACGGCUCACCAAGGCGUCGACGGGUAGCCGGCCUGAGACGGUGACCGGCCACACUGGGACUGAGACACGGCCCAGACUCCUACGGGAGGCAGCAGUGGGGAAUAUUGCACAAUGGGCGAAAGCCUGAUGCAGCAACGCCGCGUGAGGGACGACGGCCUUCGGGUUGUAAACCUCUUUUAGCAGGGAAGAAGCGAAAGUGACGGUACCUGCAGAAAAAGCGCCGGCUAACUACGUG
This 468-nucleotide ribosomal RNA is filed under the name uncultured bacterium. RNAcentral describes it as "partial 16S ribosomal RNA". It matches the Rfam family "Bacterial small subunit ribosomal RNA", at positions 28 to 507 of the family's 1533-position model. The record is from RNAcentral.